GUAGGGGGCAAGCGUUGUCCGGAAUCAUUGGGCGUAAAGCGCGCGUAGGCGGCCCGGUAAGUCCGCUGUAAAAGUCCAGGGCUCAACCCUGGAAAGCCGGUGGAUACUGUCGGGCUCGAGUCCGGAAGAGGCGAGUGGAAUUCCUGGUGUAGCGGUGGAAUGCGCAGAUAUCAGGAGGAACACCGAUGGCGAAGGCAGCUCGCUGGGACGGUACUGACGCUGAGGCGCGAAAGCGUGGGGAGCGAACAGGAUUAGAUACCCUGGUAGUCCACGCCGUAAACGAUGGGCACUAGGUGUGGGAGGUGUCGACUCCUCCCGUGCCGGCGCUAACGCAUUAAGUGCCCCGCCUGGGGAGUACGGCCGCAAGGCUAAA
RNAcentral lists this ribosomal RNA (373 nucleotides) under uncultured bacterium. RNAcentral describes it as "bacterial SSU rRNA". It matches the Rfam family "Bacterial small subunit ribosomal RNA", at positions 527 to 898 of the family's 1533-position model. The record is from RNAcentral.